Molecule: ribosomal RNA, 806 nt
Filed under: uncultured fungus
Lineage: Eukaryota; Fungi
Description: eukaryotic LSU rRNA
Rfam family: Eukaryotic large subunit ribosomal RNA
Source: RNAcentral
GAACUUAAGCAUAUCAAUAAGCGGAGGAAAAGAAACUAACAAGGAUUCCCCUAGUAACUGCGAGUGAAGCGGGAAAAGCUCAAAUUUAAAAUCUGGCGUGCCUCUGGUCGUCCGAGUUGUAGUUUAGAGAAGCGUUUUCUGUGUUGGACCGUGUAUAAGUCUCUUGGGACAGGGCGUCAUAGAGGGUGAGAAUCCCGUCUUUGACACGGACUACCAAUGCUUUGUGAUACGCUCUCAAAGAGUCGAGUUGUUUGGGAAUGCAGCUCAAAAUGGGUGGUAAAUUCCAUCUAAAGCUAAAUAUAGGCGAGAGACCGAUAGCGAACAAGUACCGUGAGGGAAAGAUGAAAAGCACUUUGGAAAGAGAGUUAAACAGUACGUGAAAUUGCUGAAAGGGAAACGCUUGAAGUCAGUCACGUCUGCCAGGACUCAGCCUUGCUUCUGCUUGGUGUACUUUCUGGUUGGAUGGGCCAACAUCAAUUUCGACCGUUGGAGAAAGGCUUUGGGAAUGUGGCACCUUCGGGUGUGUUAUAGCCCUUUGUCGUAUACAACGGUUGGGAUCGAGGACUGCAGCAUGCCUUCAUGGCCGGGGUUCGCCCACGUACAUGCUUAGGAUGUUGGCAUAAUGGCUUUAAGCGACCCGUCUUGAAACACGGACCAAGGAGUCUAACAUGCCUGCGAGUGUUUGGGUGGAAAACCCAUGCGCGUAAUGAAAGUGAUAGCUGAGAUCCUCUCAUCAGGAGCAUCAGCGCCUGGACUUGAUCUACGGAGACGGUUCUACGGUAGAGCAUGUAUGUUGGGACCCGAAA